CCUACGGGCGGCUGCAGUGGGGAAUCAUUCACAAUGGGCGCAAGCCUGAUGAUGCAACGCCGCGUGCGGGAUGAAGGCCUUCGGGUUGUAAACCGCUUUUCAGGGGGAAGAAUAACUUGACAUUACCCCUGGAAUAAGCUCCGGCUAACUCCGUGCCAGCAGCCGCGGUAAGACGGAGGGAGCAAGCGUUGCUCGGAAUUACUGGGCAUAAAGGGCGUGUAGGCGGCCUGACGGGUUGGAUGUGAAAGCCCCCGGCUCAACCGGGGAAUAGCGUCCAAAACUAUCAGGCUCGAGCAGAGCAGGGGGAAGCGGAACUGUGAGUGAAGCGGUGAAAUGCGUUGAUAUUCACAGGAACGCCGGUGGCGAAAGCGGCUUCCUGGGCUCUUGCUGACGCUGAGGCGCGAAAGCCAGGGGAGCGAACGGGCUUAGAUACCCUGGUAGUC
Molecule: ribosomal RNA, 443 nt
Filed under: uncultured bacterium
Lineage: Bacteria
Description: bacterial SSU rRNA
Rfam family: Bacterial small subunit ribosomal RNA
Source: RNAcentral